AUUGAACGCUGGCGGCGGGCCUAACACAUGCAAGUCGAGCGGAUGAAGGGAGCUUGCUCCUGGAUUCAGCGGCGGACGGGUGAGUAAUGCCUAGGAAUCUGCCUGGUAGUGGGGGAUAACGUCCGGAAACGGGCGCUAAUACCGCAUACGUCCUGAGGGAGAAAGUGGGGGAUCUUCGGACCUCACGCUAUCAGAUGAGCCUAGGUCGGAUUAGCUAGUUGGUGGGGUAAAGGCCUACCAAGGCGACGAUCCGUAACUGGUCUGAGAGGAUGAUCAGUCACACUGGAACUGAGACACGGUCCAGACUCCUACGGGAGGCAGCAGUGGGGAAUAUUGGACAAUGGGCGAAAGCCUGAUCCAGCCAUGCCGCGUGUGUGAAGAAGGUCUUCGGAUUGUAAAGCACGUUAAGUUGGGAGGAAGGGCAGUAAGUUAAUACCUUGCUGUUUUGACGUUACCAACAGAAUAAGCACCGGCUAACUUCGUG
This 484-nucleotide ribosomal RNA is filed under the name uncultured bacterium. RNAcentral's name for it is "partial 16S ribosomal RNA". It matches the Rfam family "Bacterial small subunit ribosomal RNA", at positions 30 to 507 of the family's 1533-position model. The record is from RNAcentral.